CCCAUCCAAUCCAAUAUCCAAAUCUAUUUCCCCACCUAAAAACCUAAUACACAUUACAUACACACUCAGAUACACAAGGGACACGCCUGGAAAUCUUGAGCGCAGCUGUGCAAAGGACAAACAAAGGACGAACCCCCUGGUGUCGUCUUCUUCAGCGGUUCUCCCAUCUUCUCCAAACGACCCACCCUUCUCUUCAGUGUCUUCUCCUCCAUUCACCUCCUAAUCCCCGUUGCACCCACCACCUCUGAAACCAAACAGAGACCUCUUGUCUCACGUCAACCAUCAUAGUCGACGUUCACCAGUUCCUCAUUCGAGCUGUUGUUUCGUCAGAAAUGAUCACCAACGAGUGAUAACGCCACUGGCACGGGUCUGUUCGGAAACUCCAACACGCAACCACUAUUCAAUCACUCAUACAAAAAAACGAAAAUACUAUAUUCUCUUUGUGCAUUUUCGUCAGUCUUGUCUCAGAAAAUCAGAGGCAUCACUUUCUGAUUUUGUUCAAAAGUGGAGGUUAUUUGAGAUCGUUUACGAUUCGAAAUUUCUUGUACUAAUUCAAAGUUUCAUCGAGGUGUUGACUGUUGGUUGUCGGUUGCAGUUUUGGUUUAUUUUCCGCGUUUUAGGUAUGUGCUUUUGAUUCAAAAUGCUGUAAAUGUCAUUGGAUGGUCUAUUGCACUGAAAUGUGUAAUAAUUAUUUCCUUCAUCACUCUGCAAAUUUCAGUAUUCAAUUUUCCUUUUCCCUGUUUCAUUUCGUCACUUAUGUGACGAUUAUAUGCUUCAGUUUCAGCUGCUGUCCAAUUGUAUGAUAUUGUGUGAUUCGUCGAUCUACUCUUGUUAUCC
RNAcentral lists this long non-coding RNA (837 nucleotides) under Nicotiana benthamiana. RNAcentral's name for it is "long non-coding RNA (NBEN_LNC026255)". The record is from RNAcentral. Lineage: Eukaryota; Viridiplantae; Streptophyta; Magnoliopsida; Solanales; Solanaceae.